UACGGAGGGUGCGAGCGUUAUCCGGAUUCACUGGGUUUAAAGGGUGCGUAGGUGGGAAUGUAAGUCAGUGGUGAAAUCUCUGGGCUUAACUCAGAAACUGCCAUUGAUACUAUAUUUCUUGAAUUUUCUGGAGGUUAGCGGAAUAUGUCAUGUAGCGGUGAAAUGCUUAGAUAUGACAUAGAACACCAAUUGCGAAGGCAGCUAACUACAGGGAUAUUGACACUGAGGCACGAAAGCGUGGGGAUCAAACAGG
RNAcentral lists this ribosomal RNA (253 nucleotides) under uncultured bacterium. Its description in RNAcentral is "partial 16S ribosomal RNA". It matches the Rfam family "Bacterial small subunit ribosomal RNA", at positions 524 to 776 of the family's 1533-position model. The record is from RNAcentral.